This 327-nucleotide ribosomal RNA is filed under the name uncultured eukaryote. Its description in RNAcentral is "partial 18S ribosomal RNA". It matches the Rfam family "Eukaryotic small subunit ribosomal RNA", at positions 1470 to 1796 of the family's 1831-position model. The record is from RNAcentral.
CCCUUAGAUGUUCUGGGCCGCACGCGCGCUACACUGACGAAUGCAACGAACUUAUAACCUUGGCCGAAAGGUCUGGGUAAUCUCCAAAUUUCGUCGUGAUGGGGAUAGAUUAUUGCAAUUAUUAAUCUUCAACGAGGAAUGCCUAGUAAGCGCAAGUCAUCAGCUUGCGUUGAUUACGUCCCUGCCCUUUGUACACACCGCCCGUCGCUCCUACCGAUUGAAUGGUCCGGUGAAGCGUUCGGACCGUGGCCUUUGGACGGUUCGCCGUCUGUUGGCUGCGGGAAGUUCGUUAAACCUUAUCAUUUAGAGGAAGGAGAAGUCGUANCA